RNAcentral lists this ribosomal RNA (468 nucleotides) under uncultured bacterium. RNAcentral's name for it is "bacterial SSU rRNA". It matches the Rfam family "Bacterial small subunit ribosomal RNA", at positions 8 to 469 of the family's 1533-position model. The record is from RNAcentral.
AGAGUUUGAUCCUGGCUCAGGAUGAACGCUAGCGGCAGGCUUAAUACAUGCAAGUCGAGGGGCAGCACAGUAUAGCAAUAUAUGGGUGGCGACCGGCAAACGGGUGCGUAACACGUACGCAACUUACCCUUUACUGGGAGAUAGCCCAGGGAAACUUGGAUUAAUAUCCCAUAUUACAAGGAUUCGGCAUCGGAUUUUUGUCAAAGUUCCGACGGUAAAGGAUGGGCGUGCGGUUGAUUAGGUAGUUGGCGGGGUAACGGCCCACCAAGCCUACGAUCAAUAGCUGAUGUGAGAGCAUGAUCAGCCACACGGGCACUGAGACACGGGCCCGACUCCUACGGGAGGCAGCAGUAAGGAAUAUUGGGCAAUGGACGCAAGUCUGACCCAGCCAUGCCGCGUGAAGGAUGAAGGCCCUCUGGGUUGUAAACUUCUUUUAUCUGGGGCGAAAGGCGGUUAUUCUUAGCCGUU